RNAcentral lists this ribosomal RNA (424 nucleotides) under Paracoccus sp. RKBH-B001. Its description in RNAcentral is "bacterial SSU rRNA". It matches the Rfam family "Bacterial small subunit ribosomal RNA", at positions 1 to 451 of the family's 1533-position model. Lineage: Bacteria; Pseudomonadati; Pseudomonadota; Alphaproteobacteria; Rhodobacterales; Paracoccaceae. The record is from RNAcentral.
CACCACCUUAGAGUUUGAUCCUGGCUCAGAACGAACGCUGGCGGCAGGCCUAACACAUGCAAGUCGAGCGAGACCUUCGGGUCUAGCGGCGGACGGGUGAGUAACGCGUGGGAACGUGCCCUUUUCUGCGGAAUAGCCUCGGGAAACUGAGCGUAAUACCGCAUACGCCCUUUGGGGGAAAGAUUUAUCGGAAAAGGAUCGGCCCGCGUUGGAUUAGGUAGUUGGUGGGGUAACGGCCUACCAAGCCGACGAUCCAUAGCUGGUUUGAGAGGAUGAUCAGCCACACUGGGACUGAGACACGGCCCAGACUCCUACGGGAGGCAGCAGUGGGGAAUCUUAGACAAUGGGGGCAACCCUGAUCUAGCCAUGCCGCGUGAGUGAUGAAGGCCUUAGGGUUGUAAAGCUCUUUCAGCUGGGAAGAUAA